Molecule: RNA transcript, 2248 nt
Organism: Scleropages formosus (Asian bonytongue)
Lineage: Eukaryota; Metazoa; Chordata; Actinopteri; Osteoglossiformes; Osteoglossidae
Gene name: cell cycle regulator of non-homologous end joining
Exons: 3
Source: RefSeq, a predicted model, not a curated record
CCCAGUGCGAUGGCCUCUCAUUCCGACAGAAAGAUAAAAGGAAGACAAGUCGAGAGGGAAAAACAAACACUUCACAAUGUGGAAUUUAUUUUAUUUCAUCGUAUACAUAUGGUGUAUUGACUGUUAAAUGUCCCCUAAAACGUUUGAAAAGAAAAUGAAGAAAGCAAUGGUUAAGGUUGCGAAAGCUGGAAAGGCAAAAUUAAAGAGAAAAUCAAUAACGAUGAAAGAGAAACUAGAUAUUAUCAUGCGUAUGGAGCGCGGUGACAAGCAGAAGGACAUUACAGCAGCCACUGGUCUAGCAGGGUCUACAAUUUAUACCAUCUUAAAAAACAAGGAAAAAAUUCAGCAAAGUGCUGAAAACGUUAUCGGUGGUACAAAGCUGACAAAAGUUUCUCGCUCACGUCAUGCUGUUUUGGAGAGGAUGGAAGUACUACUGCUUCACUGGAUCGAAAACCAGAACGAGAAGAACAUCCCCUUAUCGACAAUGUCAAUCCAGCAUAUGGCACUGCUGCUGUUCGAGGGCCUCAAGAAGAAAAUGUUGGAGGAGGGAGAUGAGACGGUGAAAGCAGUUGAAUUUGGGGCCAGUAAGGGGUGGUUUGAUCGAUUUCGUCGAAGAGGUUUACUUCACACCCUGAAGCUGUCAGGCCAAGUCACAUCUGCAGAUGGAGAGUCGGCAGCCACGUUUCCCAAGGAAUUGCAAAAUGUGAUUUUAGAAGGGAGCUAUGACCCCAGGCAGGUUUUCAACAUGGACGAGACUGGUCUAUUUUGGAAACGGAUGCCAUCUAGAAUGUUAGCAUCUCAAGAGGGAAGGAAAGUGUCAGGCCAUGAAACUUCCAAAGAUAGGCUGACCUUACUUCUGGGUGGUAACCUAAAGGGUGAUGUGAAGCUGAAGCCGCUCUUGGUGUACCAUGCAGAGAAUCCUAGGGCUCUGAAAGGAGUGAUCAAGUCAAGCCUUCCUGUUGUAUGGAGAUCAAACCGUAAAACCUGGGUCACACAAGAGGUGUUUAUUGACUACAUAAGGAGUUACUUUUCACCUUUUGUGGAGCAAUAUUGCAAAGAGAACAGUUUGCCUAAUAAGGCUCUCCUCAUAAUUGAUGAUGCCCCAGGCCACACUGCAGAUGUUCGCUAUGCCGACAACGUUGAAGUCCUACUCCUGCCUCCUAAUACAACUUCUUUGCUUCAGCCCAUGGACCAAGGGGUAAAAGCAACAUUCAAGGCAUAUUAUCUCCAGCUUCUAAUGAAACAUUUGGUCAAUGAAGCAGAAAAGGAUUCAUCUUUGAAGGACGUAUGGAGACAAUUUGACAUCAAGAUGGCACUUUGCUUCAUGGCUGAGGCAUGGCAAGGCAUCAAGCCUGAAACAAUGAAUGCAGCCUGGUCCAAACUUUGUCCCCAUUUUGUGCACGGCUUCAAAGGCUUCAGUCAAGAUGACAUUCAAAACCAGAUUCGUCAAAGGAUUGUGCAUUUGGCAGGAGAGGCGGGAUUUACAGAAGUGGAUGAGGCUGAUGUUGAAAAUGUCUUGACUUCCCAUACUGAAGAGCUGUGUAGUGAAGAACUUAUUCAGUUGGAGGAGGCAAGUAAGUCUGAGCAGGCAGAAGAUAUAGAAGACCCAACAACAGUGAAAGAAAUGGAUUUUGACAUGCUUCAUGAAAUUUUUGCUGCAGAAAAACACUUGCAUGAACUGAUUGCAAAUUACGAUGAUAAUACGGAUAGAAGUAUUCGUGUACGAAACGCAUUAAAAGAAGCUACAGUUCCAUAUAGAGCUUUGUAUGACAGUAAAAAGCAAAGUGUUCAACAACCUUCAGUGCAGCGAUUCUGCAAAUCACAAACAAAAGAAGAGAGAGCAGAUAUUGAAAAACAAGAAGAAAGCACAAGCAAGAGAAGGAAAACUUUGAGUGUCAAAGAAGAGGGAGCAGAAUCGUAUUCUUCUGCACCUUCGACUUCCAGCGGUAUUACAAGACGGACAAAACAGCCUCGAUUGCUCAUUAUUUACGAAUCAGAUUCAGACCCCGAUGACCGUAAAGUUGUAUAUCCUGCUGAAGAAAACCCUGAAGAUUUAGACAGCAUUGAGCUGCCUGCUGUUCAGGGUUUGCCUUUGGAACGCCCACAAUAAAAUGCCAGUAAAUCCCAAUCUGCUGCACUUCACCUUCACCUACACUGCUGCUUCAAAAAAGUGACUGUGUACUGCAUGAAUGAGGCUGAGCUUGUGGAGACUGCGCUCCGUGUUCUCACAGAAGGCAACCAUGGGGAC